UACGUAGGCAGCGAGCGUUGUUCGGAGUUACUGGGCGUAAAGGGUGUGUAGGCGGUUGUUUAAGUUUGGUGUGAAAUCUCCCGGCUCAACUGGGAGGGUGCGCCGAAUACUGAAUGACUUGGAGUGCGGGAGAGGGAAGUGGAAUUCCCGGUGUAGUGGUGAAAUGCGUAGAUAUCGGGAGGAACACCAGUGGCGAAGGCGACUUUCUGGCCUGUUCUUGACGCUGAGGCGCGAAAGCUAGGGGAGCAAACGGG
Molecule: ribosomal RNA, 254 nt
Filed under: uncultured bacterium
Lineage: Bacteria
Description: partial 16S ribosomal RNA
Rfam family: Bacterial small subunit ribosomal RNA
Source: RNAcentral